GCCUCAGUAACGGCGAGUGAAGCGGCAACAGCUCAAAUUUGAAAUCUGGCCUCUUUGGGGUCCGAGUUGUAAUUUGUAGAGGAUGUUUCGGGUACCGCCUCGGUUUAAAUUUCUUGGAACAGAAUGUCAGAGAGGGUGAGAAUCCCGUCUUGGACCGGCGGUAGGGCCCGUGUGAAACUCCUUCGACGAGUCGAGUUGUUUGGGAAUGCAGCUCAAAAUGGGUGGUAAAUUUCAUCUAAAGCUAAAUAUUGGCCAGAGACCGAUAGCGCACAAGUAGAGUGAUCGAAAGAUGAAAAGCACUUUGAAAAGAGAGUUAAACAGUAUGUGAAAUUGUUGAAAGGGAAGCGCUUACAACCAGACUUGAGCGCGGCGGUUCCCCCUUCCUUUUGGUUGGGUUACUCCGUCGUGUCCAGGCCAACAUCGGUUCUGGGGGUCGGUUAAAGACCUCGGGAAUGUAUCUACCCUUUUGGCGUAGACUUAUAGCCCGAGAUGUCAUGCGGCCUCCCGGGACCGAGGAACGCGCUUCGGCUCGGAUGUUGGCGUAAUGGUUGUCAGCGACCCGUCUUGAAACACGGACCAAGGAGUCUAACAUCUAUGCGAGUGUUUGGGUGUCAAACCCGUAACGCGGAAUGAAAGUGAACGGAGGUAGGAAGCCAUUGCGGCUGCACUAUCGACCGAUCCUGAUGUCUUCGGAUGGAUUUGAGUAAGAGCAUAGCUGUUGGGACCCGAAAGAUGGUGAACUAUGCCUGAAUAGGGUGAAGCCAGAGGAAACUCUGGUGGAGGCUCGCAGCGGUUCUGACGUGCAAAUCGAUCGUCAAAUUUGGGUAUAGGGGCGAAAGACUAAUCGAACCAUCUGGUACUGGUCC
This 866-nucleotide ribosomal RNA is filed under the name Veronaea aquatica. RNAcentral's name for it is "Veronaea sp. SUC-2020a partial large subunit ribosomal RNA". It matches the Rfam family "Eukaryotic large subunit ribosomal RNA", at positions 77 to 957 of the family's 3401-position model. The record is from RNAcentral. Lineage: Eukaryota; Fungi; Ascomycota; Eurotiomycetes; Chaetothyriales; Herpotrichiellaceae.